This 579-nucleotide long non-coding RNA is filed under the name Numida meleagris (helmeted guineafowl). RNAcentral describes it as "lncRNA (ENSNMEG00000005665.1)". The record is from RNAcentral. Lineage: Eukaryota; Metazoa; Chordata; Aves; Galliformes; Numididae.
GCUUUUGUACCCCUAAAUAUUUUCUAAGUGGAAUGUGACAAAAGACCUUUUUUCAUCUCUCUAGGAGAUUGUUCUAUUAUCCCAGCAAAAGACCAAGAGAACAUGUCACAUGCCUGAUUUAAAGAGGAUGAAAACAGCUAUUUCUUUUGAUCUCUAACAAUCACCUCAGGAUGUUGUUGUGUCUAAGGGCAUAAAGAUGCUUCUGGGUUUAUCUGGUUUUGAAAGAAGGCUUGAAACUAAUCGAGAAGGCCAGAUUGUUUGGAGCCAAAAAGAUCUACAGCCUGGAAGAAGAUUAUGUGUUUUUGUCAUUAGUGAAAUAAUGAGCUGAAGCUCUCAGCCUCCAGAUUUUUCAAGGAUGAGGAAAAUAUUAUGAUAUCAAUUUAAAAAUUUAGUUGUUUGGAGGUAUAUGACCUGGGAAAAAUAUCUGUGAUUGGUUUCAAUCACAGUUGUGCAGUUUCAUUACAAUAAUUACUGACAAAUUAGUAGUGCCAAGUGUUGGUGAUUACUGGAAAUGUUGUGUAAAAAUACCGUUCCCUACAGACCUGUAUGAUGACUUUGUGCUUCAUUUUGGCCUUCAAC